AUUUAGCCCCGAUUGCAGCAUUUGUCUGAGCUCAUUUUUCUUUUGCAAAAAGAAAAAUAGCGAGUGCGGAAAGCGGGAUUAAGC
This 84-nucleotide unclassified non-coding RNA is filed under the name Chryseobacterium indologenes. RNAcentral's name for it is "Flavo-1 RNA". The record is from RNAcentral. Lineage: Bacteria; Pseudomonadati; Bacteroidota; Flavobacteriia; Flavobacteriales; Weeksellaceae.